CACGUAAAUGGCUUUGUAAGUCGGAUGUGAAAUCCCCGGGCUCAACCUGGGAACUGCAUUCGAAACUGCAUUGCUCGAAUGUGGAAGAGGGAAGCGGAAUUCCAGGUGUAGCGGUGAAAUGCGUAGAUAUCUGGAGGAACAUCAGUGGCGAAGGCGGCUUCCUGGUCCAACAUUGACAUUCAGGUGCGAAAGCGUGGGGAGCAAACAGGAUUAGAUACCCUGGUAGUCCACGCCAUAAACGAUGAGAACUAGAUGUCGGGAGGGUUAGCCUUCCGGUGUCGCAGCUAACGCGUUAAGUUCUCCGCCUGGGGAGUACGGCCGCAAGGUUGAA
Molecule: ribosomal RNA, 331 nt
Filed under: uncultured bacterium
Lineage: Bacteria
Description: bacterial SSU rRNA
Rfam family: Bacterial small subunit ribosomal RNA
Source: RNAcentral